This 309-nucleotide signal recognition particle RNA is filed under the name Cercocebus atys (sooty mangabey). RNAcentral describes it as "Metazoan signal recognition particle RNA (ENSCATG00000021202.1)". It matches the Rfam family "Metazoan signal recognition particle RNA". From Rfam's summary of the family: The signal recognition particle (SRP) is a universally conserved ribonucleoprotein. It is involved in the co-translational targeting of proteins to membranes. The eukaryotic SRP consists of a 300-nucleotide 7S RNA and six proteins: SRPs 72, 68, 54, 19, 14, and 9. Lineage: Eukaryota; Metazoa; Chordata; Mammalia; Primates; Cercopithecidae. The record is from RNAcentral.
GGUGGCUGAGCUGUGGCUCACACCUGUAAUUCCAACUUUACAGGUCAAGGCAAGAGGCCAAGGCAAGAGGAUCACUCAAGCCCGGGAGUACUAGGCUAUGGUGUACCAUGCCGAUCAGGUAUCUACACUAGGUUUGUCAUCAGUAUGGUGACCUCCCUGGAGCAGGGGACCACCAGGUUGCCUAAGCAGAGUGUACCAGGCCAGGUCGGAAACUAAGUGGGUCAAAACUCCCACGCUGAUCAGUAGUGGGAUCAUACCUGUGAAGAGCCACUCCACUCCAGCCUGGCAACAUGGUGAGAUCCCAUCUCA